UACGUAGGGUGCAAGCGUUGUCCGGAAUUAUUGGGCGUAAAGAGCUCGUAGGCGGUUUGUCGCGUCUGCUGUGAAAACCUAAGGCUCAACCUUGGGCUUGCAGUGGGUACGGGCAGACUAGAGUGCGGUAGGGGAGACUGGAAUUCCUGGUGUAGCGGUGAAAUGCGCAGAUAUCAGGAGGAACACCGGUGGCGAAGGCGGGUCUCUGGGCCGUAACUGACGCUGAGGAGCGAAAGCGUGGGGAGCGAACAGG
RNAcentral lists this ribosomal RNA (253 nucleotides) under uncultured bacterium. RNAcentral's name for it is "partial 16S ribosomal RNA". It matches the Rfam family "Bacterial small subunit ribosomal RNA", at positions 524 to 776 of the family's 1533-position model. The record is from RNAcentral.